GCNAAGUUGGUCNACGUUUGUUGGUGCGUCAACUUCUUAGAGGGACUAUUGACUAUUAGUCAAUGGAAGUUUGAGGCAAUAACAGGUCUGUGAUGCCCUUAGAUGUUCUGGGCCGCACGCGCGCUACACUGAUCAAGUCAACGAGUUUACAACCUUGGCCGGAAGGUCUGGGUAAUCUUUUGAAACUUGAUCGUGCUGGGGAUAGUCCAUUGCAAUUAUUGGACUUCAACGAGGAAUUCCUAGUAAGCGUGAGUCAUCAGCUCGCGUUGAUUACGUCCCUGCCCUUUGUACACACCGCCCGUCGCUACUACCGAUUGAAUGGCUCGGCCCGUG
Molecule: ribosomal RNA, 333 nt
Filed under: uncultured fungus
Lineage: Eukaryota; Fungi
Description: SSU rRNA
Rfam family: Eukaryotic small subunit ribosomal RNA
Source: RNAcentral